RNAcentral lists this ribosomal RNA (169 nucleotides) under uncultured bacterium. RNAcentral describes it as "partial 16S ribosomal RNA". It matches the Rfam family "Bacterial small subunit ribosomal RNA", at positions 338 to 524 of the family's 1533-position model. The record is from RNAcentral.
CCUACGGGAGGCAGCAGUGGGGAAUCUUGGACAAUGGGCGCAAGCCUGAUCCAGCCAUGCCGCGUGAGUGAAGAAGGUCUUAGGAUCGUAAAGCUCUUUCGCCAGAGAUGAUAAUGACAGUAUCUGGUAAAGAAACCCCGGCUAACUCCGUGCCAGCAGCCGCGGUAAU